GUGCCCGUAGCUCAACGGAUAGAGCGUCUGGCUACGGACCAGAAGGCUGGGGGUUCGAGUCCCUCCGGGCACGCCA
RNAcentral lists this transfer RNA (76 nucleotides) under Armatimonadota bacterium. Its description in RNAcentral is "Armatimonadetes bacterium (groundwater metagenome) tRNA-Arg". It matches the Rfam family "tRNA". From Rfam's summary of the family: Transfer RNA (tRNA) molecules are approximately 80 nucleotides in length. Lineage: Bacteria; Bacillati; Armatimonadota. The record is from RNAcentral.